GUUCUCUGCUGUCCAGAUGCGGAUGGUGCAGUCCAGGCUGGAGCAGGCAUACAGCUUGAGUGUGGGGCAGCAGCACAGGCCUGGGGGCCGGGGCUCAGCAUCAGGCACCAGAGCCAUAUGGUGGCCUAGGCUUCACCUUUGCCCUGCCCCCUCACCGGUGAUGUGGUCCAUGGGGUCAUCCUGGGGCCGGUGAUCAUAGCGUGGGCUGUUGCCCAGGCCAAACUGCACCAAACCAUAGGUGGCGCUGUCCGGGUCCUCAAAGCCCACAGUGAUGCGCUGCCCAAGUGCACAGAGCACCACGGCUGGGUGGCAGCAGGAGAAGCUGCGCAGCAGGCUCAGGCUCUCCUCAGCAUACGGGAAGACCCGCCACACCUUCACUGUCAAGUCUCCGCCUGCGGGGCGAGAGCCAGGGCUGGGCCUUUGGGGAGGGAAGGGCUUCCCAGGCCAGCUAUGGGGGAGGAGAGGUACUGACCCGAGGACACAACGCUGUUCCAGGUGGACGCAAUGGCAGUGACCGGGCUGGGGUUGUGUGCCUCCGUAUGGAAGACAGGGUUUGACGAGCGCCACUCGAGCACCGACAGCGUGCCAUCCGUGUACCCCACCAUGGGCAGGCCCAGGCCAUGUCGCUUCGGCACAGCUCGCCCCCGCGCUGGCGCACGAUCUCCCAUAUGGCAAAUGCACUACUGGGGUCUAUGAGGUGGCUGUAGAGGUGCAGGCAGCAGGGCCUGCGCGCCGGGGGCGGUGGAGGGC
Molecule: long non-coding RNA, 750 nt
Filed under: Equus asinus (donkey)
Lineage: Eukaryota; Metazoa; Chordata; Mammalia; Perissodactyla; Equidae
Description: lncRNA (ENSEASG00005024150.1)
Source: RNAcentral